GGGGUUGUAGCUCAAUGGUAGAGCGCUUGCCUUGCAUGUGUGAGGCACUGAGUUCAAUUGUCAGCACCA
This 69-nucleotide transfer RNA is filed under the name Marmota marmota marmota (Alpine marmot). It matches the Rfam family "tRNA". Rfam says of the family: Transfer RNA (tRNA) molecules are approximately 80 nucleotides in length. Their secondary structure includes four short double-helical elements and three loops (D, anti-codon, and T loops). Further hydrogen bonds mediate the characteristic L-shaped molecular structure. tRNAs have two regions of fundamental functional importance: the anti-codon, which is responsible for specific mRNA codon recognition, and the 3' end, to which the tRNAs corresponding amino acid is attached (by aminoacyl-tRNA synthetases). tRNAs cope with the degeneracy of the genetic code in two manners: having more than one tRNA (with a specific anti-codon) for a particular amino acid; and 'wobble' base-pairing, i.e. permitting non-standard base-pairing at the 3rd anti-codon position. The record is from Rfam by way of RNAcentral. Lineage: Eukaryota; Metazoa; Chordata; Mammalia; Rodentia; Sciuridae. RNAcentral also lists the same sequence under 1 other name.